This 76-nucleotide transfer RNA is filed under the name Filifactor alocis. RNAcentral describes it as "tRNA-Thr(ggt)". It matches the Rfam family "tRNA". From Rfam's summary of the family: Transfer RNA (tRNA) molecules are approximately 80 nucleotides in length. The record is from RNAcentral. Lineage: Bacteria; Bacillati; Bacillota; Clostridia; Peptostreptococcales; Filifactoraceae. RNAcentral also lists the same sequence under 1 other name.
GCUACUAUGGCUCAGGAGGUAGAGCGUCGCCUUGGUAAGGCGGAGGUCACCGGUUCGAAUCCGGUUAGUAGCUCCA